Delphinella strobiligena is the source of this 80-nucleotide non-coding RNA. NCBI's taxonomy places the organism in Eukaryota, Fungi, Ascomycota, Dothideomycetes, Dothideales, Dothioraceae. The record is from the annotation of a GenBank genome assembly.
GCUGCUGUAGCUCAGUGGUAGAGCGUAAGAUUGCAGUCGCAGUCAUCCUAAGGCCCGUCGUUCGAUCCGGCGUAGCAGCU